UCUGUCGAAUGACGGCAGUCUCAUCUGAAAAAUCCAACAGAUGAUGAGGGUUUCGCUCGUUUACCCACUUAAGGGCACAGCUCACGCCACGAGCUGACGACAGCCGUGCAACACCUGUCUUAGCGUUCCCUUGCGGGCACGGCACUGUUUCCAGCGCUUUCGCUAGAUGUCAAACCCUGGUAAGGUUCUCCGGUUAUCGUCGAAUUAAACCACAUGCUCCACCGCUUGUGCGAUCCCCCGCCAAUUCCUUUAUGUUUUAGCCUUGCGGCCGUACUUCACAGGCGGCACACUUAACGCGUUAGCUACGCUACAAGAAGGGUCGAUACUUCUGAUAGCUAGUGUGCAUCGUUUACGGCGUGGACUAC
Molecule: unclassified non-coding RNA, 365 nt
Filed under: uncultured bacterium
Lineage: Bacteria
Description: contains 16S-23S intergenic spacer region
Source: RNAcentral